AGCCAUGCAUGUCUAAGUAUAAACUGUUUUAUACUGUGAAACUGCGAAUGGCUCAUUAAAUCAGUUAUAGUUUAUUUGAUGGUACCUACUUACUCGGAUAACCGUAGUAAAUCUAGAGCUAAUACGUGCGUACAUCCCGACUUCUGGAAGGGACGUAUUUAUUAGAUAAAAGCCCGACCGGGCUUUGCCCGACUCGCGGUGAAUCAUGAUAACUUCACGAAUCGCACGGCCUUGCGCCGGCGAUGUUUCAUUCAAAUUUCUGCCCUAUCAACUUUUGAUGGUAGGAUAGAGCCCUGCCAUGGUGGUAACGGGUGACGGAGGAUUAGGGUUCGAUUCCGGAGAGGGAGCCUGAGAAACGGCUCCCACUAUCCAAAGGAAGGCAGCAGGCGCGCUAAAUUACCC
Molecule: ribosomal RNA, 402 nt
Filed under: Gloeotila sp. KUAC 3905d
Lineage: Eukaryota; Viridiplantae; Chlorophyta; Trebouxiophyceae; Chlorellales; Chlorellaceae
Description: SSU rRNA
Rfam family: Eukaryotic small subunit ribosomal RNA
Source: RNAcentral